This is a long non-coding RNA of Triticum aestivum (bread wheat), 635 nucleotides long. RefSeq lists it as uncharacterized. Lineage: Eukaryota; Viridiplantae; Streptophyta; Magnoliopsida; Poales; Poaceae. The transcript is spliced from 3 exons. The record is from RefSeq and is a predicted model, not a curated record.
UUGGGCACGUGCGCGGCGCGACCGCCCGCAAGGGUGUGCGCUCGGGACUGCAAAAAUGUGCAGCAGCACCCGCCCGCCUUGACCUCGCGCCGCAUCACCCAUCCACGUGCGGCCUUCUCUCUUUCUUUGCCCCAUGGCCAUGGCAACUGCUCAGCACACACCAUGCACGGCGGCUGUUCGACGGAUUGCCGCAACGGAUGGACCCCCUCUUCCUUGGCUCAGCAUCUGGACUGAAUCAGCUUCUCCGCCCUUGCCACGGACACGCCUGCUGGCAUCAUCGCCAGCUUCUUACAACAGAGGAAUUUCAACUGCGGAUCUAGUGCAUGCACGGUGACGGUGUGUGUUCACCAGCAAAUCAGUUCAGUUCUGCAGUUCUUAAUUACGUGAAGCAAGUUCUUGUCACACACUGCCUCAGCCCGUGGACAGAGACUGAGCAUCGCUCAAACAAAGGUGAGUGAAGCCUGUGCUUAUGCUCAUUCAGUUGUAAACUGAGCCAUUGUGGUCUUCUGUCCCUACUGAUUGCGUUACCUGUUCCCCCGAUGUAGCUGCUACACAAUUUGUUCCACUUGCGAGUACUUUUCUCGUCGAUACUACAAAUCCAACCCCAUAUGAAACAUGAACUAGUGGCCGGCUGG